Molecule: ribosomal RNA, 401 nt
Filed under: Bacillus sp. R-27269
Lineage: Bacteria; Bacillati; Bacillota; Bacilli; Caryophanales; Bacillaceae
Description: bacterial SSU rRNA
Rfam family: Bacterial small subunit ribosomal RNA
Source: RNAcentral
CCCUGAUGAUUAGCGGCGGACGGGUGAGUAACACGUGGGUAACCUGCCUGUAAGACUGGGAUAACUCCGGGAAACCGGGGCUAAUACCGGAUAACUUUUUUCUUCGCAUGAGGGRGAAUUGAAAGAUGGCUUCGGCUAUCACUUACAGAUGGACCCGCGGCGCAUUAGCUAGUUGGUGAGGUAAYGGCUCACCAAGGCGACGAUGCGUAGCCGACUUGAGAGGGUGAUCGGCCACACUGGGACUGAGACACGGCCCAGACUCCUACGGGAGGCAGCAGUAGGGAAUCUUCCGCAAUGGACGAAAGUCUGACGGAGCAACGCCGCGUGAGUGAUGAAGGUUUUCGGAUCGUAAAACUCUGUUGUUAGGGAAGAACAAGUAUCGUUCGAAUAGGGCGGUACCU